AUUGAACGCUGGCGGCAUGCUUUACACAUGCAAGUCGAACGGUAACAGGCCUUCGGGUGCUGACGAGUGGCGAACGGGUGAGUAAUGCAUCGGAACGUGCCCAGAGGUGGGGGAUAACGCAGCGAAAGCUGUGCUAAUACCGCAUGUGAUCUGAGGAUGAAAGCGGGGGACCAAGCAGCAAUGUUUGGCCUCGCGCCUCUGGAGCGGCCGAUGUCAGAUUAGGUAGUUGGUGGGGUAAAGGCCUACCAAGCCGACGAUCUGUAGCUGGUCUGAGAGGACGACCAGCCACACUGGGAGUGAGACACGGCCCAGACUCCUACGGGAGGCAGCAGCGGGGAAUUUUGGACAAUGGGCGCGAGCCUGAUCCAGCAAUGCCGCGUGCGGGAAGAAGGCCUUCGGGUUGUAAAGCGCUUUUGUACGGAACGAAAAGGCUCUGGCUAAUACCUGGGGCUGAUGACGGUACCGGAAGAAUAAGCACCGGCUAACUACGUG
RNAcentral lists this ribosomal RNA (492 nucleotides) under uncultured bacterium. RNAcentral's name for it is "partial 16S ribosomal RNA". It matches the Rfam family "Bacterial small subunit ribosomal RNA", at positions 29 to 507 of the family's 1533-position model. The record is from RNAcentral.